This 450-nucleotide ribosomal RNA is filed under the name uncultured bacterium. Its description in RNAcentral is "partial 16S ribosomal RNA". It matches the Rfam family "Bacterial small subunit ribosomal RNA", at positions 354 to 796 of the family's 1533-position model. The record is from RNAcentral.
GUGGGGAAUCUUCCGCAAUGGACGAAAGUCUGACGGAGCAACGCCGCGUGAGUGAAGAAGGUUUUCGGAUCGUAAAGCUCUUUCGUUAGGGACGAACGUGCUCUUUGUGAAUAAUGAGGAGUAAUGACGGUACCUAAAUAAGAAGCCACGGCUAACUACGUGCCAGCAGCCGCGGUAAUACGUAGGUGGCAAGCGUUGUCCGGAAUUAUUGGGCGUAAAGCGCGCGCAGGCGGGAUAUCAAGUCUGUCUUAAAAGUGCGAGGCUCAACCUCGUGAGGGGACAGAUACUGGUAUUCUUGAGUGUCGGAGAGGAAAGUGGAAUUCCAAGUGUAGCGGUGAAAUGCGUAGAGAUUUGGAAGAACACCAGUGGCGAAGGCGACUUUCUGGACGAUGUCUGACGCUGAGGCGCGAAAGCUAGGGGAGCGAACGGGAUUAGAAACCCGUGUAGUCC